ACGAAUCGGAAGCUUGCUUUUGAUUCGUUAGCGGCGACGGGUGAGUAACACGUGGGCAACCUGCCCUGUAGACGGGGAUAACACCGAGAAAUCGGUGCUAAUACCGGAUAACACGAAAUGUCGCAUGACGUUCGUUGAAAGACGGCGCAAGCUGUCGCUACAGGAUGGGCCCGCGGCGCAUUAGCUAGUUGGUGAGGUAGUGGCUCACCAAGGCGACGACGGGUAGCCGGCCUGAGAGGGCGACCGGCCACACUGGGACUGAGACACGGCCCAGACUCC
RNAcentral lists this ribosomal RNA (279 nucleotides) under unidentified marine bacterioplankton. RNAcentral describes it as "partial 16S ribosomal RNA". It matches the Rfam family "Bacterial small subunit ribosomal RNA", at positions 67 to 339 of the family's 1533-position model. The record is from RNAcentral.